CUGUAAUCUGUGACGCAAGUGUCCUAAUAUGUUUGUGACGUUCCACGGAACCCACGUUAUUGUUUUAAACUCGAUUCUGAUUGGCUUGCAGGACAUUCAACUAUGUGAGUUAUACAUUUUGAAUGUGCUUUUACGUCAGUGUGACAGAUUCACAAUACCGAGCGUUUCUCAAACGGUCCUGCGGUUUUAUCUGCCUAACGGUAUCUUCACGCACGACUGGAUAGGCCUUUUGGAUACGCUUGUCCAAGGCCCAAGACAUAAAGUAGCCUGCAAUCAUUCCAUUGCUGACCCAUCGGAUGGUUAUCACAUAGAGGAUUGGCUUAAUCUAGAAUCAUGGAUACCUUUCAUGUGAGUACUCACACACCAGAUUUUUUACAUACCUCAGAAGGACCAACUGGGAUUGCAAUAUCUGGAAGCACUGUCUCAUGUACAAUUGUUCAUGUUAUCUCUGAAAUGUCUAACAAAAUGUUGACUUGACCGUUUCAUCAAGAUCUGCGCAUCACAAGUUGGAACUAGUGGUCAAAAUUGGGACAAUGUUGCCCAAAAUAAAUGUUUUCAUGGAGUGAACAAGACCUGCCAACAGAGCUCACUGGAGCAGGGAGACAUCCCGUCAUCCCUUCGGCACCUGACAAAGUACACAUUUUUCUUCUAAAUAACACUAUAGUAACAUCUUCUGCACAAAGGUACAUUCCUAAUAAGAUUGGUGUUAAGUGAGAAAGAAUCCUAAAGAUGGUCCAAUGGGCAUUGUCUGAAGCCUCUCAUCA
This is a long non-coding RNA of Coregonus clupeaformis (lake whitefish), 764 nucleotides long. RefSeq lists it as uncharacterized. The transcript has 3 exons. The record is from RefSeq and is a predicted model, not a curated record. NCBI's taxonomy places the organism in Eukaryota, Metazoa, Chordata, Actinopteri, Salmoniformes, Salmonidae.